This 203-nucleotide unclassified non-coding RNA is filed under the name soil metagenome. RNAcentral describes it as "partial internal transcribed spacer 1". The record is from RNAcentral.
CCGAGUUUACAACUCCCAAACCCAAUGUGAACGUUACCAAACUGUUGCCUCGGCGGGAUCUCUGCCCCGGGUGCGUCGCAGCCCCGGACCAAGGCGCCCGCCGGAGGACCAACCAAAACUCUUAUUGUAUACCCCCUCGCGGGUUUUUUUUUAUAAUCUGAGCCUUCUCGGCGCCUCUCGUAGGCCGUUUCGAAAAUGAAUCA